UACGUAGGCAGCAAGCGUUGUUCGGAGUUACUGGGCGUAAAGGGUGUGUAGGCGGUUGUUUAAGUUUGGUGUGAAAUCUCCCGGCUCAACUGGGAGGGUGCGCCGAAUACUGAAUGACUUCGAGUACGGGAGGAGGAAAGUGGAAUUCCUGGUGUAGCGGUGAAAUGCGUAGAUAUCAUGAGGAAGACCAGUGGCGAAGGCGGGUCUCUGGACAGUUCCUGACACUGAGGCACGAAGGCCAGGGGAGCAGACGGG
This 255-nucleotide ribosomal RNA is filed under the name uncultured bacterium. RNAcentral describes it as "partial 16S ribosomal RNA". It matches the Rfam family "Bacterial small subunit ribosomal RNA", at positions 524 to 776 of the family's 1533-position model. The record is from RNAcentral.